UCACAUUGGUUAAAAAACAAAACAAAAAACAUACUAUUUCAGGUUGUACCAAUACAUAUUACAUUAUUGGUUAUACCUUUCUUACACAUUCCUUUUACAUGUUCAGUGAAACUAAUUUUUGUUGUAUUAUCUGUUAGAGGAGAUCUGAAGGAAGGUUUGGAUCAAGCUUUUUCUAUAAAAGAACGCCUGUGGUAACAAGUGGGCCCUUUCAGGAUGCGAGACAGGUGAUGAAAUUCUUCAGACUGGAGCCGGGGAGAGUAUCUUAUCAUACCAUCCACAUACUAUCCCAGGAAGAGCGCAGAAUUCAUCCUGUCCCAUUUUCUGCAAAAAUGAGAUCCACAUUCAAAAGGACACAGAAAGAAUGGAGAAAGAUUUUCUUGUGGAUUUUUUUAGGCGAGUCUGAGGUCCGUUACACUGAAGAAGUGGAUGAAAGAUCGAAAACUAAAACACUGUUUCGGCAAUAUUCUGA
Molecule: long non-coding RNA, 469 nt
Organism: Cyprinus carpio (common carp)
Lineage: Eukaryota; Metazoa; Chordata; Actinopteri; Cypriniformes; Cyprinidae
Exons: 3
Source: RefSeq, a predicted model, not a curated record